This 74-nucleotide transfer RNA is filed under the name Stenamma impar. RNAcentral's name for it is "tRNA-Met". The record is from RNAcentral. Lineage: Eukaryota; Metazoa; Arthropoda; Insecta; Hymenoptera; Formicidae.
AAAUAAGUAAGCUAAGUAAAGCUUUUAGGUUCAUACCCUAAAAAUAGAAUUUUAUCCAACCAUUCUCUUAUUUA